UCGACGUUUGAAUUAAACAAAAAUAUUAAAAAAAAAGAUAAACCGUGAAAAUAUCUCAAAAAUGAUUUAUCUGAUGGAAAAUAAUAGAAUAGCGAGGAAAAUUAUUAAAACCCAUCUGGCAAUGGGGCCGCUUAAAGCACGAAACAAGGGAUACCUAACAUCUGGAUAUAUUGUAAAAAAAUUAAGAAUAUUAUCUUAACAAAAAGAUAAAAGAUGAUGUCACGCUAAAAGUGAUUCUCUCAGCAAAUGGGCUACGGAUUCAAAGUAAACAGGAUGGAUAGGUGUUUUAAAUUUUCAAAAUGUUACUAAAGGUAACCAAGCCAUCAGUGGUAGUUGUCAAGAAUGAGGAA
This is a long non-coding RNA of Pieris napi, 350 nucleotides long. RefSeq lists it as uncharacterized. The transcript has 3 exons. The record is from RefSeq and is a predicted model, not a curated record. Lineage: Eukaryota; Metazoa; Arthropoda; Insecta; Lepidoptera; Pieridae.